Molecule: long non-coding RNA, 677 nt
Organism: Homo sapiens (human)
Lineage: Eukaryota; Metazoa; Chordata; Mammalia; Primates; Hominidae
Gene: PPFIA2-AS1
Product: PPFIA2 antisense RNA 1
Source: Ensembl
UAACACCUUGGUCUGGAACUUCUAGUGUGUAAAAGUGUGAGACAACACAUUUCUGUUGUUUAAGACACACAAUCUGUGGUACUUUGAUACAGCAGCCCUGACAAACUAAUACAUGGGGUGUCUCAUUGUAGUUUUAAUCAGUAACACCCAUUAUGAACUGAAAACGUCUGCUACUUUUAAGAUCCAACUUGAAUGCUUCCUGAUUAAAUAUAUACAGGAGUGAUUUCAGAGGAAUUUAAGUUUUGGAUCAUUCUUUUGAGAAAGAAAGAAAAGUACCCUUUUAAAAGAGGUGGCUCUUGAACAACACAGCGUACUUUCAACAUAAAGACGACGAGGAUAAAGGCAUUUAUGAUGAACUACUUCCACAUAAUGAAUAAUUGAACAAAGGAGAGAAUUGUGAGAGUGAGAAAAAGUGAGACAAAGAAGAAAAACUAUAAAUCAGCAAAAUACAGUGCCAAGAGCUCUGGACCACAAAUCAGAAGACCUGAGCCCUAAUUCCUUUCCAGUCAUUGGAUUUGUUCGUCGCUUGCCAAAAUAGCAGCGAACUCUCUGUCAAACUGCAACUCAUUUUAUCGGAGCAAAAACUGAACAAAGAACUGCUAUCAUUUCUGAGGUCAGAGGCAGUGCAGCUUGUGUUACAACUCAAAAGAGUAAUACUCUGAAAAAAGAAAAAAAAA